GAGAGCGUACAGGUCGCAAUGGUGGGUAGUAUAUGGGGCUUUGGUGACAAAACGGAUUGCACUGUGAUAGACUGCAUCCAAUUUGUUGAGUAGGGUAUUGGAGGCUAUUUUGUAAAUGACAUCGCCAAAGUCGAGGAUUGGUAGGAUGGUCAGUUUUACAAGGGUAUGUUUGGCAGCAUGAGUGAAGGAUGCUUUGUUGCGAAAUAGGAAGCCAAUUCUAGAUUUAACUUUGGAUUGGAGAUGUUUGAUAUGGGUCUGGAAGGAGAGUUUACAGUCUAACCAGACACCUAAGUAUUUGUAGUUGUCCACGUAUUCUAAGUCAGAGCCGUCCAGAGUAGUGAUGUUGGACAGGCGGGCAGGUGCAGGUAGCGAUCGGUUGAAGAGCAUGCAUUUAGUUUUACUUGUAUUUAAGAGCAAUUGGAGGCCACGGAAGGAGAGUUGUAUGGCAUUGAAGCUUGCCUGGAGGGUUGUUAACACAGUGUCCAAAGAAGGGCCGGAAGUAUACAGAAUGGUGUCGUCUACAAUGUAAUGAAAUAUAUUGAUUUAAAAUAAAAUCGAAUAGCUUGUUUGAUGUUCUGAUAUAGACAGAAUGACUGAAAAUGACCUGUAAUUUCAAAUCAUUAGUUUACAAUAUCACAAUGGAAUUUAUUACAAUUUAUAAAGAAGCAGAACGAGCAAGUCAUUCACCCAACAUUUGUUCAUCAGGACGGUAACACAACGACACGAGGAUAAUUGACUAUCCAGAAGUUCACCUGGGCAGGCCCAAAAAAGGCAGAAAAGCCAGUCUUGUUCUCUCUCUACCCCAGCCCAGGAUGAAUUGAAUGGGGACACGCCUAGACGUGGGCAAUCCAGGGAUUCAGCUGGCCGUUCUAGAUGCUCUCCUUCCCCAUCUCACUUCACACGCGGGCUUCUACUAGCCAGUCCCACCUCCAGAGCAGGGAGCACAGACGUUUUCCAUAUCUCCCCUGUUACUCUACCAGACAAGAUUCAUCCAGGGCUUCUACUUGCCAGGCGCAACAGAGCCAAGAGCAUCGAAGCCCUCACCCUCCCAUUCCCUCCGCUAAGACCAGAGCUGUUUCCCAUGAAUAAUGCCAAAGUGUGUCCUAACUAAAUUGGUAGAGAUAUUGGAGGUGAAACGUGUUGGGAGAUCAGAGCCCCAAGACUCUUUGAGUUCCAUGUCAAGAGGAUGGAGACUUUGAGCAACUAGAGAAGCAGCGCCAAAGUGUGGAUGCACAGAAUCUGAUGGUGAAAUUGACAUUUAUUUUUGACAUUUCAUUUACACUGUAGAUUUAGUCAGCAUCUUUCACACUACCUAAAGCGAUACAAUUGGUUAAUUCCACUCUCACAAGCAAUGCCUGUAGAAUGUAUUUUUUAUUAGUCCUACUGAGACAGAGGUUACUGCAUAACGUCCAGGGUUUCAAACAGUCUCUUGACACAGAUUAAGGUUAAGCAACAUUGGUGGUAAGAACACAAAGGACUGUGCCCACAAGGUCAUGGACAGGUAUGUCAUAUCUUUAGAAUGGAUCCAGUAAGUAAUUCAUUUUAAAGGUAUCGUUAGUGAUACAAACUGUCUGCAACAAAGACAGUAAAUCCAAGAGCCUUCUCUCCUCAGCAGUUUGAAAGUGUUCAAUUCACAAAGAACAUCUUUAUGUGCGCUUGACUUUCAGGCUCUUUACCAAUGGCCUGAUGUCCUUGUUCAACUUCAACAACCAUCACGCAAUGCAGGGACUAGGAAACACAACUGUGUAGUCUGUUGUCAGUGGUACCUACAAACAUGUAAUUAUUCUGUAGUAUAUUUUGUAUUAAUAACUGGGUGGUUUGAGCCCUGAAAGCUGAUUGGCUAACAGCCAUGGUAUAUUUAAGCAAUAAUACAUGAGAGCCCAUGUGUUAUGAUGACAUUUAUCAUGGCUGAGAGUGUCAUAGCCAUGAAAGCAAAGUCCUCUGGGUUUUGUGGUGCCGUAACCACACAAUACAUGGUUACAGUCUGUAUCCAGCCGCGCUGAGUUGCGUUGUGCAUAAGAAAAGCCUUUUACUACACCCUCCCAUUGCUUAAAAGGUCACUAAGGUCGCAUAAUCAAAAUGACCUGCUCUGUCUGUUUUAAUAGGCUAGAUUCUUAUUUUGUUUUCUAAACCAAUUAUUAAUUUGCAUGGUGGUCAUUUAUGUGGUCCCUUUUUGAGAAGAAUGGCUUUAGGAGCUUGGCAAUUUUGAAUGAGGUGAUCAUGUGAUGUCAAUGGCCUUUUAACCUAUUGACUCGGGCAAGUUCUAAAAAUGGAUAACGGUCUGCCCAACGUGACAUUUUCUCAAAUUCUCUUUCAUUUAUUUUGCUAUGCUUUAGCCCUAAUAAAUGCUUCACCAUGUUUUGUUCUUUGUUAGACUCUCUAGUAUGUCAUUAUGCUGGUUUUGUUCAGCUUUCUGGCCUGUUAUCAAUUAGUCCUUAUUAUUACUUCAUUUCAUCACACAGCCUACUGGUUCUGCAUUUAAAUGCAGUCAAGCAUUAUCUUGAAUAAUUAGCCUACAGCAUACAAUGGCUUUAAUAAUAAAGGCUUUGUACAGAUCAAUUCUGGUACAGCUAGAAUUUAUUUUGUGUUUACACUACCAAGCAAUCAGAAAAAAAAUAUACAGUGGGGCAAAAAAGUAUUUAGUCAGCCACCAAUUGUGCAAGUUCUCCCACUUAAAAAGAUGAGAGAGGCCUGUAAUUUUCAUCAUAGGUACACUUCAACUAUGACAGACAAAAUGAGGGAAGAAAAAUCCAGAAAAUCACAUUGUAGGAUUUUUUAUGAAUUUAUUUGCAAAUUAUGGUGGAAAAUAAGUAUUAUUGGGCCACCUACAAACAAGCAAGAUUUCUGGCUCUCACAGACCUGUAACUUCUUCUUUAAGAGGCUCCUCUGUCCUCCACUCGUUACCUGUAUUAAUGGCACCUGUUUGAACUUGUUAUCAGUAUAAAAGACACCUGUCCACAACCUUAAACAGUCACACUGCCGGAGCAGAAGGCAGAUUACCAUUAUUGCUUCACGGAGUCGUGGCUGAAGGAUGACAAUAUCAACAUACAGCUGGCUGGUUAUAGAUGCACCAGCAGGAUAGAACAGUGGUGUCUGGUAAGACAAAGGGCAGCAGACUAUGUAUUUUUAAAAAAAAAAAUAACAGCUGUUUCACUAUGUCUAAGGAAGUCUCGAGCAAUGCCCGAGGUUGAUUAUAUCACGAUAAAGAAAAAAAAAACAUAUUGAGAGAGUUCUCAUCUGUAUUCUUCGUAGCUGUUUUACAUACCACCUCAGUCAGAGGUUGGUACUAAGAUAGCAUUGAAUGAGCUGUAUUCUGCCAUAAGCAAACAAGAAAACGCUCACCUGGAGGAUGCAGCUGUACACAGCCCAUCUGUAAAUAGCCCAUCCAACUACCUACCUCAUCCCCAUAUUGUUUUAUUCAUUUUUUUUUUGCACACUAGUAUUUCUACUUGCACAUCAUCAUCAUCUGCACAUCUCACUCCAGUGUUAAUUUGCUAAAUUGUAAUUUCUUCGCUACUAUUGGCCUAUUUAUUGCCUUAUCUCCUUACUCCAUCUGCACACACUGUAUAUAGAUUUUUCUAUUGUGUUAUUGACUGUACUUUUGUUUAUCCCAUGUGUAACUCUGUUGUUUUUUGUCGCACUGCUUUGCUUUAUCUUGGCCAGGUUGCAAUUGUAAAUGAAAACUUGUUCUCAACUGGCCUACCUGGUUAAAUAAAAGGUGAUAUUUAUAUAUAUAUUUUAAAGGGGCGCUCCUAGUAGCCAGAGACUUUAAUGCAGGGAAACUUAAAUCAAUUUUACCAAAUUUCUAACAGCAUGUUAAAUGUGCAACCAGAGUGAAAAUAACUCUGGACCACCUAUACUCCACACACAGAGACGCAUACAAAGCUCUCCCUUGCCCUCCAUUUGGCAAAUCUGACCAUAAUUCCAUCCUCCUGAUUCCUGCUUACAAGUGAAAAUUAAAGCAGGAAGCACCAGUGACUAGAUCAAUAAAAAAGUGGUCAGAUGAAGCAGAUGCUAAGCUACAGGACUGUUUUGCUAGCACAGACUAGAAUGUGUUCCGGGAUUUCUCCAAUGGCAUUGAGGGCAUUCGGUCAUUGGCUUCAUCAAUAAGUGCAUCGAUGACGUCGUCCCCAGUGACAGUACGUACAUACCCCAACUAGAAACCACGGAUUACAGGCAGCAUCCGCACUGAGCUAAAGGCUAGAGCUUCCGCUUUUAAGGAGAGAGACUAAGCCGGAAGAUUAUAAGAAAUCCCGCUAUGCCCUCCGACGAUCCAUCAAACAGCCAAAGCCUCAAUAAAGGACUAAAAUCGAGUCGUACUACACCGGCUCUGAUGCUCGUCAGAUGUGGCAGGGCUUGCAUACCAUUACAGACUACAAAGGGAAGCACAGCCGAGAGCUGCCCAGUGACACAAGCCUACCAGAUGAGCUAAACUACUCCUAUGCUCGCUUCAAGGCAAAUAACACUGAAACAUGCAUAAGAGCACCAGCUGUACUGGAAGACUGUGUGAUCACGCUCUCCGCAGCCAAUGUGAGUAUGACCUUUACACAGGUCAACAUUAACAAGGCCGCAGGGCCAUACGGAUUACCAGGACGUGUACUGUGUGCAUGCGCUGACCAACUAAUAAGUGUCUUCACUGACAUGUUCAACCUCUCCCUGUCUGAGUCUGUAAUACCAACAUGUUUUAAGCAGACGACCAUGGUGCCUGUGCCCAAGAACACUAAGGGAACCUGCCUAAAUGACUACCGACCCAUGGCACUCACGUCUGUAGCCAUGAAGUGCUUUGAAAGGUUGGUCAUGGCUCACAUCAAAACCAUCAUCCCAGAAACCCUAGACCAACUCCAAUUUGUAUACCACUCCAACAUAUCCACAGAUGAUGCAAUCUCUAUUGCACUUCACACUGCCCUUUCCCACUUGGACAACAGGAACACCUACAGUUGAAGUCAGAAGUUUACAUACACUUAGGUUGGAGUUUUUCAACCACUCCACAAAUUUCUUGUUUAACAAACUAUAGUUUUGGCAAGUUGGUUAGGACAUCUACUUUGUGCAUGACACAAGUAAUUUUUCCAACAAUUGUUUAUAGACAGAUUCUUUCACGUAUAAUUCACUGUAUCACAAUUCCAGUGGGUCAGAAGUUUACAUACACUAAGUUGACUGUGCCUUUAAACAGCUUGGAAAAUUCCAGAAAAAAAAAAGCUUCUGAUGGGCUAAUUGACAUAAUUUGAGUCAAUUGGAGGUGUACCUGAGAUGUAUUUCAAGGCCUACCUUCAAACACAGUGCAUCUUUGCUUGACAUCAUGGGAAAAUCAAAUUUCCACCUUAUUCAUAAAGAGACUUUAAAGUUCAGUGACUGAUUUGUCCCCUACCCAUUCUGAAACUAACUGCAGCUCUUUGUCAAGUGUUGCAGUCAUUUCAGUCGCUGUAGUAGCUGAUGUGUAUAGUGUUGAGUCAUCCUCAUACAUAGACACACUGGCCUUACUCAAAGCCAGUGGCAUUGUUGGAGACGCUCACAUUAAAGAACUCCCUCUGUCUUCGGUUACUUGUCUAACUCUUUAUCCACAUUAUAGCUGGGGUGUAAAGCCAUUACACAUACGUUUUUCCAGCAGCAGACUAUGAUCGAUAAUGUGAAAAGCUGCACUGAAGUCUAACAAGACAGCCCCCACAACCAUUUUAUCAUCAAUAUUUUAGGAAUAGCAUUACACAAUCAACAUCUUGAUCAAUUCUAUGCAAAGGAGAUGUGUCCCGGAGGAGGCGAUGACCCCCUUAUCAUGUAAUGGGGUAGGGCCUUCCCAAGCAGGGUUGCCAACUUAGUGACUUUUUCGCUAUAUUUAGCGAGUAUUCAGACCCCUCUAGCGACACAUUUAAAAAAAAUUGACUAGUGACAAAUCUAGCGACUUUUUCUGGUGUUAUUUGAGACUUUUGGAGACUCUGACGUGAAAGCAUGUAUUGUUCUUAAUGGGCCCCACCCCCGUCCCAAAGCACUCCCUUGCAGCCUAGUCCUCGCGCAUGCGGGAAGCUGGCUGAUCCCGCCCUGGCUUACAUUCAGGGUGGGAUGUAAAUGUGAAAUGUUCUUUGUCUAAAAUAAAUCACUGCAUUUGACUCA
Molecule: long non-coding RNA, 6102 nt
Organism: Oncorhynchus keta (chum salmon)
Lineage: Eukaryota; Metazoa; Chordata; Actinopteri; Salmoniformes; Salmonidae
Exons: 6
Source: RefSeq, a predicted model, not a curated record